GCUACGAGGUGUAUGUUCGCAGCAAAUUGUUUACAGUCUGUGGUUUGAUCGUGUUUUUGCCUUUGCUGUAAUGAACUGUGACUUAGUUCGCGUGCACAAAAGUGCCAGAAGAUAGCUUGUGUCUCUCUACAAACUCGCCGUAUGCGUGUCGUGCCAGGCAAAUGUGGACCAACGAUUUUCAUGCUGUGGAGUGCGUUCCCUUUGUCCGUGGUUGUUGUGGAAAGUUCGGUGGACGUCGCAAAGAGCGUUCCGCAGGUCGUCCACUACGCAACGGCAUGUAUGCGGGAAUAACUUUGCAGCACCGGCAACUUGGAGGGCCCUUUUCGACCGCAUCAUACCAUUUAAGUGGUAUGAUGAUGUGGCGAGGCCGUGACCAACAACAGUGUCCACGUCUGGGAGGAGCUAUGAUUGCAGCGGCACAGUGUCUAAUCGGAUGGUAUGACUGAAGUGCACAGAUUGGUGUGGGAUUUGUGAUGCCACUCAACAAGUGGCAUUACAUAUUAAAGUCUGCUUCCGACGCAAAGUGCACGUUAGAUGGGGCACGGCACCUGUGAGCCGUGCAAGCGGGUGAAAGACGGGCCUGCCGGAUAAUGUGCCAUGCAUCGAGGAAGCUUCUGGCAACACCGGAGGAAGUGGCUGCUUUGAAGAGUAUUGCCAUGGAUUUUCACCGCCACAACAACGAACAACGGACUUCUGGCUUUCUUUCAAGUACCUCGUGGCAAUGACACCGUGGAUUACACUAUCUUUGAUCAUCGUUCCGCAAGUGUGACGUCAUCACUCGACACCGUACUUAAGGAGCCUUGAUGCGACAUCCACUUCAGAGGGCACGGCACUUGGCUGACAAACAAGAUGCCUAAGCCACCGCUACUGCUUUUGCAGGUGACCGUCACUUGGGUCGUAUGCUCUGCGCUUCCCGGCACGUGCAAACUGCGCACCGAUGACGCAACACCACCUCGGCUUGCCUUGGUAAUCACAGCGCCGAAUCUAGACCAGACCGUCGCACACAUCUGGCAGCGGCGAUUGGGGACUACAACGGACACCACCGGAAGAGGACUUAAAAGCCAGCCAGCAAGCGUCCACUUCGGGCAAGGCACCGCAUCGAGUAUGCAGCGUACUCAGCUACUGCUAUUGCAGAACACGCCAGCCAACCUGCACAGCCCUCCGAUGGAUGCCAAUUGUGGCAUUUGUACUCAAGACCACAGUCGUGAUUCAAGGCAAAACAGCUCCAGCCUUGCAGAAAGAUGUGAUAGUGCGAAUACGAGUGCUACUGCCAGUUCUGUGUAAGGAGAGGAAACUAGCCAAGCUACAAGUGAAACAGAUGUUCUUUCUGAUGAAGGUGCAACAAGCUUCAGUGGCAGUGAACUCAAUUUUGCUUUGAAGUUGAGCUCUGAUAGUGAUCCUGUUCAAGAAACAGAUAAAAUGGGCAGAAAUGAAGGAAGUGCACAGAUGCGUGAUGCUGCAGGAGAUAAUUUCAUUAAAUAUGUUGGAAGUCUCGGAAAGGAAACCCUACCUUAUUAGGCAACAUCAAAAGCACCAGCUUUCCUGCUUGUGCUUACAAUACAUACAUUGUCACUGUAGGACUGAAAUGGGCACAAAUUCGAGGACUUCUAACUUUGAUCAAUGCCCUGUUUGGGUAGAAAAUUGUGCCAUGCACUACCUACUUCCUGAGAAAGCUGUGGAAGAGCAAAAAAGCAUUGAGGGUGCACAUUACAAGCCUUCCAUAAAUGCCUUGGACCAUCUUGCAAUGCCAAAAACAAGCCGAGUGUCACCUGUGAUUCAUGUGGUGCAGAAAAGAGGCUUCAAGAGUUAAUGAGUUCUGGGAGUUUCUUUUUGAUGUUUAACUUGAAACAGCAGUUUUUUUUUUUUGCGAUGAAGGCUUGCCCUUAAGGCAUAAUUGUUGGAGCGUAUAUGUGUAUUAUAUGUGUGCUGUGAGGCCUGUGUUGUGUAUGAAUUGAAGCAGUGUUUUGUGAAAUUUGUUACCAUGUAUCCAGCGGUCAUAGCUGGUUGUAACACUGUAGCGGAGGCCGGCUUGCAGUAGGUGACGCGAGCGUUCCGAUUGUAAACCCGUACAUGUCCAUAUUAGGUGGUAUGCAUCUGAUUCCACCACAGGAACGGAGCAGUAUGGACACGUAGCACCCAGUGGUAAAUGCGACCAGUUCCACCUUGAGACAGCAGCCGGUGUAAGGGCGACCCCGGCCCGAAGCCUCCUAAGCACAACUUCCUCCGCCCUAGUAAGGUGAAGGGGGGGGGAGCAGACACACGGUGGGAUAAGAGCGCGUGUGUCCUGCCGGAGAACAUAUUUACGGGCUCGCAGCGAGUUACGGGGUUGGGGUGGGAGGGGAAUAGGUGGAGGAUCAGGAUUAGGAGGGCAGUGUGCCUGCUGGUCAGCAGCAAUGUUGUGAGGGUUCGCUGAAUGGCCUUGAAUCCAGUGUACCUUGACGCAAGUAGCUGUCUUACUAUUCAUAGUGUGUAUUCUCUCGCAGAUUUCCAUCGCCUUAUCGACCUUCUUGAGUUCCUGAAUAGCCGCUAAAGAAUCCGUGAAGAUGUCUAGUUGCUUGAUGGUAGGCAGCUUAGAUGUCGCAUCUUGCAUAGCGUCGUGGAUGGCUUGAAGUUCCAUUACUAGAGUGCUGGCUUCCGUAGAUAAAUAGCGCUGGUGGCCGCUGAUGAAAUUAUGCGUUGUACUCAGGAAUGAUGUUCUUCCGCCGUCUGGGAGAAUGGCAGCAUCCGUAUAGAUUUUGCAGGUGUUAACGCAUGAUGCACUGACGAUGUUGUGUUCGUCAAUAGUACCUGUUGUAUCGCUGCGUCGUAACUUCGUUGGCUUAUUAGUCGUGAUGCUGGUGAAUUCCCAGGGAGGCAUUGGACAGGGCUGAUUGUCAAUCCGAGAGCCGCGGUGAAAAUUAGCAUGCAGCGCAGCGACAGCCGGAAUAAGUUGCUUUUUUAUUUCACGUGCUUUUUCACGUUGCAAAAUUAGCUCUGCAAUUGUGUUGAGCUGGGCAUGUUCCUGUAGGGCUGGUAUCGGAGUGAUGCGGGGCAGUGCUGUGAUUGUGCGCAUAGCAUCGCGAUUAAUCGUCUCCAACUGUGCUAGCUGUGCCAACGUCAGCCGUUGAAAUUGUGCUUGAUAUAAAAUUCGUGGCUGCAAGACUGCACGCACCAACCGUCGAGCUACGUCAGUACGAGCUCCAGCUGCUUUUGCUGCAAUGCGACGAAUAAGGUGAAGUGUUUUUGUCGAACUCUGUCUGGUUUUACGGAGCCAGUGUGCACCACUGCCAGAUUGGUGAAUAUCGAGACCCAGUAUGCGGACCUCAGAAGCCUCAGGGAUUGUCACUGCGCCGAGCCUAAAUGUAAAGGGGUGCUGCGUGAUUCUUGUGCGUCCUUUCUUGUUGGCCACCACAACAUAGCUUGAUUUUUGGGCAGAAAUGUCCAAUCCUGCUUUCCAAGCGUAGUUGUUCAGCACAUCAAGGGCUUCUUGAAGCUGUUGAGUUUCUCUAGAUAUAUCUUUAUGCACGGACCACAAAGUGACAUCAUCUGCAUAGAUUAAGAACCUCACAGCAAAGAAACAACAGUUGCUUGGACUCUUAAAGCAAGUUGGCAAGCCUCUACACACUAACUUACAGAAGCUGUCAUCAGGGCCUCUAGUGCCAGGCGCUUUUUCUGGCAUCACCGAUGGAAGUUUGUACCGUAGUGUAUGAAAGUAGGUAAACAUGGCAUGGAGUGACAUACAUUGACCUUCAACAGUGAUGGGUCACCUGUGCUUGAUUCCAGCAAUAGCACAAUUUGGCCAGUUCAAGUAGUCAUAAAUGGACCGCCAGUUUUGAUGUGGUGGUAAAACGUGCUCAUCUCAGGGCUAUGGUUCUCAAGGACUCGCACACCGAUGCAUCUCUUCAAGACGCAGUUUGUUGAAGUCCCGAAUAUUGGAACUCUAGUAUGAUCUCUUGCUGAGGGGGUAUGAACAUGCUGCAUCAGCAUGUCCGCGCUGGUGCAUAACGGCUGUUGUGACCAUAGACUAUAAUUGACAGAAGUGUAGUGUUAGUGCACAUGUGAGUUGUAAGCAAGGCGCUUUAGUAGUGUGGGAAUGAUUGCUUAUGUGGAUUUGUGUAAACGUUAUCUUUUUCGCUUUACACAUUAUCGUCACUUUGUUUUAUAUAAUUUACUGCAUUAUUACAAAUAUUAUUAAAUACAUCAGAGGACCUCAAGCACAGUACUAGGAUAUUUAAACCUCUAUGCCACUGAUAUGCCCUUCGGCAAGCCCCAUUGAACACCCUUGGGGAUUUCUCUUGGGCAAGCAAGCAUGCUGAGACACUUGAUGAAUUUAGAUUUGGCCGUCCAUCUCUGGGUCAACAGAGUGACAACUGUGUAAAGUUCUCGACCGCGGAGUCGGCUAGCUAUCUGCACACUUGGUUAAAAAACUAGCUCGGGUCGACAGCGGCCCGCGAAUGUGCCACUGUGGACCAUAAACAUGCGAUGCAAAGUAAGGCACAGGCGUACACUCACCCCAAGCAGCUCCCACGCAAAAAGGGUGCCUCGCAAACUUGGUGGAGCAAACAGACAAACAACCUUUCUCUUUGAAACGCAAUUUUACUCUCUGUAUGACACAGGCUACUGUACACCGCCAGGGCCAUAAGACGUGGGGCUCAAGGCGGAGGGGAGGUGCCUGUGGUCAGUGGAGGGGGUCCAACCGGAGGUGGCGGCGAGGCUGCAGGCAUGCAGCCCACUGCUUGUGGGACUUUCUCCUCAAUGUCUUCGAGGUGCCUCGGUUUCCGAGAAAACGGGGCCUGGUAGUGACGGUGCAGUGUUCGUUGCUUACAACUGAUUAGAUAUACAGUAGACUUCUGAUAAUUCAAACUCGAGGGUGUUCCAGAAUUUUGUUUUAAUUGUCAGAUGCAGGUAUGAAUAUGUCUUGGGGCAGCACAUCAGCUUAUACUGUAAUGAAAUAUCCAUUUAUUCAUAUAUUGAAAAUAAAUGGCAAAUUCGUGACUGCUCUCUUGCAGCAAGCAACUUCAAAACAAAAAUUUUUCUAUUCCAACAAUGACAGUUUUUCUCCUUGUGGUUUUUACUGCUUUGAGAAGUGUAGACAGGUAGUUGGCUUCACUUUCAUAUGAACGCAAAUGUUCAGCUAGAAGUUAUUAAAGCAGCUCAUACUUCUGGUAUGGACAAGCAAGAAUUACGGAUGAACAGAUUUAACUGAAUGAUGCAGUUUGAAUUAAUUAGCUUUUACGUACAUUGACAACAUAGUGGGCCAACCAAAAUAUAGAUUUGUUUGAAUGAACUGAGAGUACCAAAUAUCAGUUUGAAUUAUCAUGAGUUUACUGUACUGUUAACAGGUGUCGUAUGCCCGGCUGUAGUUUCAUCUCGAUCCCCGCUGGUUUUGUUUAUCACACUGACGGUCACACGGGCUGCUUGCCUCCGUGUUUGUGUUGUCUGAUGACGGCAGUGCACUGCUUGCAGUUGCUUGCAGCAGUAGGUGGGCAUGUAAAACUUAAUUGGAGGACCACUACGAACACGGAGCAAACAUAAAAGCACAUGACAGUGCAGGCGACCUUGUGACUAGGGCCUGCCCGUGUCCCUCUCGCAACAGCUACCUAAAACCAGUGCCGCUUGGCAGGGUUGUGGAUUUAUGGCUUCAAUAGAAACCUAAUCGGGCCUGCCACUUGGCUGUGUGAUGUGUCCAGUGUGCCAGAAGCAACAAAUAAAAUGCUAUUUAGGAAGUCCUUUGAACGACAUUCAUACAGGGAUCACAUAGGAGGACCAUGUAUGGUAUAAGCACAUCAAAAAUGUGAACAAUGUUUUGUACCCCGGCCACGGCAGCUGCAUUUUGAUGGGGGCAAAAAUGCCCGUGCCCUGUGCAUUGGGGGCACGUUAAAGGUGUCCUGGCUUUCAAAAGUAAUGCAGAGUCUCCAACUAUGGUGUGCCUCAUAAUGUAGUCAUGGUUUUGGUACGUAAAAGCCCACAAUUUCUAGUUUUGAGAGCGAAUUAUCCACUUGAAUCCUGAUAUUGUGAAUUGAACUUUGGCACAAAGUGCAAGGAUUGAUGUAGAAGAAAAUUUGCUGUUCUGAGAUCGGUGUUCAGUGUGUGUCUCUACUCUACACACAAAUAACCUUUUCAGCAAGCGUAGAUUUCUGCUGAACUGAUUUGACACAUUUUACUCAAGUACUUGAAAUCAAUGGUUUUGGAAAUUGUGAUGUUGCAGUUAUUGUUUACUAUAUUUUAUUAGUAAUUAGUGUAUAAUUACAUAAUAUUAUAAUUUACUAUAUAUGUGUGUGUGUGUGUGUGUGUGUGUGUGUGUGUGUCAUUAAUAGUGGCCACUGAGGGUAAGAAUUGGUCUCCACGAGUUGUUUUUUUUUUUCUUCAUAAUCUCUGGUGCACAUUGAAAGAGAUACCUUUCUGUGAGAAUAAACGAUGACUAUGACGAAUGUGAAAUGCUUGGUUUUUCAGCAGUUUUGAUUGACUUGCUCUUUUAGACACUACUGCUGGCUAGAGCUUGA
Long non-coding RNA from Dermacentor albipictus, 6482 nucleotides. RefSeq lists it as uncharacterized. The record is from RefSeq and is a predicted model, not a curated record. NCBI's taxonomy places the organism in Eukaryota, Metazoa, Arthropoda, Arachnida, Ixodida, Ixodidae.